RNAcentral lists this ribosomal RNA (469 nucleotides) under Photorhabdus luminescens. RNAcentral describes it as "bacterial SSU rRNA". It matches the Rfam family "Bacterial small subunit ribosomal RNA", at positions 45 to 501 of the family's 1533-position model. The record is from RNAcentral. Lineage: Bacteria; Pseudomonadati; Pseudomonadota; Gammaproteobacteria; Enterobacterales; Morganellaceae.
GGCCUAACACAUGCAAGUCGAGCGGUAACAGGAAAGUGUUUGCACUUUUGCUGACGAGCGGCGGACGGGUGAGUAAUGUCUGGGGAUCUGCCCGAGGGCGGGGGAUAACCACUGGAAACGGUGGCUAAUACCGCAUAAUGUCGCGAGACCAAAGUGGGGGACCUGAAAGGGCCUCACGCCGUCGGAUGAACCCAGAUGGGAUUAGCUAGUAGGUAGGGUAAUGGCCUACCUAGCCGACGAUCCCUAGCUGGUCUGAGAGGAUGACCAGCCACACUGGGACUGAGACACGGCCCAGACUCCUACGGGAGGCAGCAGUGGGGAAUAUUGCACAAUGGGCGCAAGCCUGAUGCAGCCAUGCCGCGUGUAUGAAGAAGGCCUUCGGGUUGUAAAGUACUUUCAGCGGGGAGGAAGGGUAUGGCCUGAAGAGGACGAUAGCUUGACGUUACCCGCAGAAGAAGCACCGGCUAAC